AUAAGAGCAUAAAGUCCUCCUCCACCCACCCAAGGAUCCUAGCAUCCUAUUUACUAUGUCCUUGACUAUCUUCAACCUGCUGUUGCCUAAUUGUGCGAGCCCACUUUUUAGCCCCUAAAAUCAAACAUGUCUGUUUUUUAAGGUCGCGGGUUGAAUCGGUCGUCUUGUGACAAAACGGUGGUUUUUUAAUCCCCCCAUGGGAGAAAACCUUGCCGGUCCCGACUCAGUUCGAUUGAAUUCGAUUGUACGUCAGUGUGCACGGGGUAUUAGAGACGACCUUUGAACUGUUAUAAAAUCUGCCGGAGAUCGCUAGCUGUGUGCUGUGCCGUGAAAAGGUCAACACCAAAUUUGAGAGUGUCACUCAAAACCCCGCUCUUAGUGGGCCAAUUCAUCAACAGAUCAAGAGUUACUAACAACAUGCUCAGUGACGUCACAGACAACGUAAAUGACGAACGAAACGAUGACGGUGGGUUUAUUAAUAUUCCUACCAAUCAAUAGGACUUGUGACGUGAGAAAAGGUACCGAACAACAGAGCAACAAAACUGAUGUGUUAGGGUAGAGAAAACUGACCUUGUUAGAACAAACGAACACUGAAGGAAUCUGGGACAAGUGAGGUUUUUUUCCCUCUUAGCACCAGCUGAAAGUACGUACACACAAACUUAUACACAAAAAGUGCACCUACGGACCCAAUCAAUUACGAGAUGUCUGUGAAGAGUUCAACGAUCUUGGCCUUGACCUUGGUGUGUGUCUGUGUGGUGCUCAGCCCGGCGUCCGCUCUGUGGGUACCAGACAUGGGGCUUACGUGUAUAUCGAGAGGAAAGGAGUACAGGCAUAAACAAGUCCUGGAGAAAUCUAGCAAAUGCAAGAUCUGUAUCUGUGUGUACGGCAGUGUGUCUUGUCGGAGUGUUUGCUGACACCGUCACUUGAUGGAACAUUUGGCGCACUGUCACGUGACGAAACAUUCAACUCGGGGUCACGUGAUAGGACAUUCGACACACGAUUACGUGAUGGAAUAUAUAGCACACUGUCUAGUGGCAAACAUUCGACGACUGGUCACGGGAUGGGACAUUUGACGCACGUUCACGGGAUGGGACAUUUGACAGACUCUCAAGUGAUGGGACAUUUGGCAGACCAUCAUGUGAUGGAACAUUUGACAGACUAUCUUGUGAUGGGACAUUUGACGCACGUUCACGGUAUGGGACAUUUGACAGACUCUCAAGUGAUGGGACAUUUGGCAGACCAUCAUGUGAUGGAACAUUUGACAGACUAUCAUGGGAUGGAGCAUUUGUCGCACGUUCACGGGAAGGGACAUUUGACACAGUCCCGCAACUCUUGACACACCUGUUGGCACCACGAGAUUGAACGUCCUGGAGAAUCACGUGAACGCAUUUAGUCACAGUCCGUUGAUUGGACAUCCACUGGAGCCACGUGACUUGACAACGACAACGACGACGACAGCAAUAAAUGCAGCUGCUACAUCGGCAACAACAACAGCAACAACAGCAACAGCAACAGCAACAAUAACAAUAACAACAACAACAACAACAACAACAACGUCGGUAACAAAAAACACACACAACAAAAACAACAACAACAACAGCAACGACGGCGAUAACGAUAACAAAAGAAAUGGUAACUGCAGCUACACUACCACCACGAUCACCACCACUGCCAUCACCACCACCACCACCUCCAACAACAACAAAACAACAAUAACAACAACAACAGCUAGAACAACAAUAGCAAUAACAACAACGACGACAACGACAACAAUAAUAACUGCGACCACCACUAACAAUAACAGCAACAAAUUCACCACCAACAAGUAUCCUCUAACAUUUGUACACUUAAGAAAAUAAACUCAAGUCACAAUUUUCUUCAAAUAUCUUU
This 1890-nucleotide long non-coding RNA is filed under the name Aplysia californica (California sea hare). RNAcentral's name for it is "uncharacterized LOC101859252, transcript variant X6". Lineage: Eukaryota; Metazoa; Mollusca; Gastropoda; Aplysiida; Aplysiidae. The record is from RNAcentral.